This 2938-nucleotide long non-coding RNA is filed under the name Homo sapiens (human). RNAcentral's name for it is "HSALNT0396639". Lineage: Eukaryota; Metazoa; Chordata; Mammalia; Primates; Hominidae. The record is from RNAcentral.
UUAUAUGUCACAAUCACCCCAGUGGGCAGGGCCCAGGCAUGAGAUCAGAGUCACAACAUGUAGGUGCUGGGCCAAGUGAUAUGUCACAAUGCCCACUGUAGACAGGUUCCAGGAAGAAAAGGAGCAUCACAUCAUCUAGGUGAUAAACCCUGAGAUAUCUCACAAUGACCCCUUUGUGCAGAGAUCACAAAGAAGAAUCAUAUAACCUGUGUGCUGGAUCCAGUGAACCUAGCAAAAAGAGAAGAGUCACAUCAGCUGGAUGGUGGCCAAGAGAUAUGUCACAAUCCCAUCCGUGGGCUGAGCUAAGGAAGGAGAAUAAAAUCACCCAAGUGUUGAGCAGAGGCAGAUGUUAAAAUCACUCCUGCAGGAAGGCCCAGGGAUGAGAUUAACAAUACUGAACAUGUCCUUGUUUUAGACAGUGUCUCCUCAGUGGAGUAAAAGCCUCACGGUGUGUUGAAUCUUGGUCUGAGAGUCGCCAACCCACUGGUGGACCGGAUCCACUUACAAGAGUCAAUGUUCAAACUUUCAACUGUCUCCAGCUGUGAGAUUCAGAACCUCAACAGGGAUGCAGGUUAUGAAGAUGAGAGCGUGAGACAGCGAGCUGUAAGGGAAGCAGGUUACCCAGGGAUGGACAGAGGAUGGGCCCUGGCCCUCAUGUUAUGAAGCUUCUCCACGUGGUGCCUUCCUCUGUCAAAUGGGCAGAAGAAUAUCCUUUUGAUAGAAUUAAAAUAUACGAAAACCAUUUAUUCUCCUGUUACAAUGAUUUUUAUUUCCACAGCAACACUUAGUACCUGCCCCCCCCUCCAGCUUGCCCUGCCCACCAACCAGGAGCGGGGCCAGCCUGGAUCUCUUCUCUGCCGCUGGCGUAGGGGCGGGGGCGGGGGACAGUGUCUUCAGCAAAAGUCUGCGGAUAGAAAGGCCCCGCUCCUGUCCGGACAGCAGGAAUGGGAGAGCCGCCUCCAACCCCAGCCCCAUGGAGCAGGGCAGAAACGCUGCCCACUGCCCUGCUCCUGCCACCAGGAAGGGCGUGUGGGGGGCCACUUUCUGUAAAGAAGAAACCGCCUGAACAACAAGUGGCUCAAGGCACCCUUGUCUAACGACCAGGGACACUGAGCGCCAGGGCCCAAGUCACCAGCAAGAGAAAACCCAGGCGGAGCCCAGGGUGUCCCCCACUGCCCACCAGCCACUGCGGUCAACGUGAAGGGCAAGGGUGCAAGCGGGAUCGCGUCACAGGGAGCCGAGUGAGCCCAGAAAGUAGGAGAAGGACGUUUCCACCCACCUGGAGCGCAGUCCGUUUGCAGCCGGCGGCAGAAUGCUGCUGUCUCCAUCAAUAAAGUCCAUGUUAGCCACCUAGAGGAUAAAAUACCACGAGGAGGAGUAGCAAGGUGCCCCUGUUGACAGAUCUUGAAGCACAAGCUCACUCCCAGAAGCACAGCUGCCUAGUCAACAAACAGCUGACAAUACAUGUCUGAAGGAGCUCAGCUGGGAACAGAAGAAUGGCCCCACUGAGCCUAGCCUAAAUGGCGGACCAUCUCAAUUAUGAGCUAAUAAGUUUUGGAUGAUUUGUUAUGCUGCCAUACCUAACUAAUACAUGCACCCAGUGCAGAUUGGGUGUCAAGAUUUAAAGACAGUUUGAUUAUUAGUCACCUUCUAACAAUGGGCACCCUAAAGGUACUGACAUUUUUCCCGAUUUAAAGUUAAAUGUCUUGUAAGGCAAUGUUGACUGAUGCAGGAAUACUUGUAGACAUGUAUGCAUGUGAUUGGUGCUUAUAUGCACACAGUCCCCCACACCACAGGAAAAAACCGAUGACCAGAGCCUGACCAUUAUGGCCAAGGCCAAAUAGCCAAAGUUUGCCUUUAAUCUAUUUUCUUCAUAUCUAAAAAUUGGAGGUCAAUACUGUGGACAGGUCUGAAGACAUAGAGUUUUGUUCUCCUGUGGCCCCAUCAUUCUUCAGUGGUCUACCUGUGGUUAUUUUAUUCUUGUUACCUUCUGCUCUUUCUAUGACCACUAUCUGUUCCACCCUUGAAACUGAAGACAGAUGUUAGUAGAAAGAGGCUGUUCCCUCAUGUCGGGCAUGUGGGAUACGAUGAGGUUUCUCUUCAAAUAGCCUGAUCAAUCUUUUAUUCUUUAAUUCAUAGUACCCACACACACACCCCUUUUUUUCCUUUUUCUCCUUUUUCCUUUCUGCCUUUGUUAGAUGCCCAGGCACGCCACAGUACCAGGCAUUAUCAGUACCAGCUCACAUUUCUUCCCUUAUUUGGAAAGAGGACUAACUUUCUAGCUCAAUGCAGACACCCCUUCCCCUUCCUCUCUGCAUUCUUUUGCAUGCCCACCUUAUCUAAAAAAAUCAAAUGUUUAGCCAACCAGGAUUAGUUCAGAUUGUACGACCCGACCCUGGCCAAUGGGGAAAGGGUACAGGGGCAGGACUUGUGUCAGGAAUAAAGGCUCUUGUGCCCCUUUGUUCAGGUGUGCUCUCAUGGUGACUGGACAAGAACGCACCCCUCUGUGCAGAACUAAAAUUGCUUUGCUAGGAAUCCUUUGUUCGAGUGUUCAAUUUCCUUAUGAUUUUGAGCGUUAUUCCUAACAGGAAGAAAAGGGAUAUUCAGGCCUUUCACAGACCUGACAACAGAGCUGCACUUCAAUGUGACAGGUAUUGACCAUGUGUGACUCCUGGGAGCCUGGAAUGUGGCUGGUCUGAGCUGCAAUUUGCAAGAAAGGUAAAAUGCAGAGUUAGUUUCAAAGAUUUAGUUCCAUAAAUAUAAAAAUAUACAACAUAUAGAUAAAAAUAUCUAUAUAUAAUAUGGAUAAAAAUACAUAGCAUAAUGCAAUAUAUAGAUACAUAAUUAUGUUAUAUAUAAAUAUAUAUCUCAUUCAUAAUUAUACAUUGCUCACAUAUUAAAAUAAUAUUUUGGAUAUAUUGCUUUAAUUAAAUUGUUA